Molecule: transfer RNA, 71 nt
Filed under: Candidatus Yanofskyibacteriota bacterium
Lineage: Bacteria; Candidatus Yanofskyibacteriota
Description: Candidatus Yanofskybacteria bacterium tRNA-Ile
Rfam family: tRNA
About the family: Transfer RNA (tRNA) molecules are approximately 80 nucleotides in length.
Source: RNAcentral
GGGCGCAUAGUUUAGUGGUAAAACAGGGAUCUGAUAAGUCCCAGUCCCAGAUUCGAUUUCUGGUGCGCCCA